GAAGGGGGCAAGCGUUGCUCGGAAUCACUGGGCGUAAAGGGCGCGUAGGCGGGCGUCUAAGUCAGGGGUGAAAUCCCGAGGCUCAACCUCGGAAUUGCCUUUGAUACUGGAUGUCUCGAGACCGGAAGAGGUGAGUGGAACUGCGAGUGUAGAGGUGAAAUUCGUAGAUAUUCGCAAGAACACCAGUGGCGAAGGCGGCUCACUGGUCCGGUUCUGACGCUGAGGCGCGAAAGCGUGGGGAGCAAACAGGAUUAGAUACCCUGGUAGUCCACGCCGUAAACGAUGGAUGCUAGCCGUUGGCGAGCUUGCUCGUCAGUGGCGCAGCUAACGCUUUAAGCAUCCCGCCUGGGGAGUACGGUCGCAAGAUUAAA
Molecule: ribosomal RNA, 371 nt
Filed under: uncultured bacterium
Lineage: Bacteria
Description: bacterial SSU rRNA
Rfam family: Bacterial small subunit ribosomal RNA
Source: RNAcentral